Taeniopygia guttata (zebra finch) is the source of this 2232-nucleotide long non-coding RNA. Lineage: Eukaryota; Metazoa; Chordata; Aves; Passeriformes; Estrildidae. The record is from Ensembl.
CACAGCACAGCACAGCACAGCACAGCACAGCACAGCACAGCACAACACAGAUAGCACAGCACAGCACAGCACAGCACAGCACAGCUCAGCACAGACCAGCACAGACCAGCACAGCGCAGAUAGCACAGCACAGCACAGCACAGCACAAACCAGCACUGCACGUACCCCUGCAGCUGAGGCUUCCCGGGUCCCUCCUCUCCCUGCUGCCGGGAGCUGUGGCCAUUUCAGGGAGCCGGGGACACGCAGGGACCCUGUGGGGCCCUGGCUGUGGGCACAUGGUGGUGGCUUCAUGGGCUGCUGUGGGACCCUGCAUCUCUGCAGGGCUGAGUGGUGUCGGGGCUCUGUGGGGAGCCGGGGCUCCCCAGGUUGCUCUGGAAGGCUCAGACUGCCCGAGGGAGGAGCACUGGAAGGGUCAUGGAGGAGAAGGCAAGGCCUUUCUUUCUUGCAUUGCCUUCCUAGGCUUCAUGGCAACUCUGGCAUCAGAGACAGGCACAGAGGCCUCAGUGCAGCCCGGUGGCAGUCCCGGUGCAUUUCAUGGCUCUGCCGACUCCCCGGGGCAAUACUUCUGAAGCCCUGCAGUUUUCAGGUCUUUGGGAAAACACUCCUGCAAGCCCACAAGUCAGUCACAGGUCUGGGUCAGGGUGGGCUGGCCAAAAUCUCCCUGUGGAGGUCAAACAGAGCCCAAGCUCACAAGGGGAAGAUGUGCCACUGCUCAUAUCACAUAUUGGUUUCACUGCAGCACCCACGUGUUGGAAUCUCAGCAUCCUCCAUGGCUGGAGCAUUACCAGCCCUGCCUGUGGAGCUUCACUGGAGCUGGACACUCCAUCCUUGAGAUGCAGAAGCCUAUGAGGGAGCUGAGCACCACAGCAUGGGGAGCUGAGGACAUCACUGUGAUGGGAUGUGAGCAAUGGGCAGCGCUGGCCUUCCCCUCCUCUGGCUCUCACCCGGGGAACCCUGCACUGGAAAAUGGCAUCAUCUCCACGUACACACCAUGGCAGCCAAGGGAACAAGGGCACAAAUCCCUCCUCAGCAACAUCAGUGCCAUGUACCCAGGGGAGAAGGAAUCCUUGAUUUAGCAGACAUGACCAGACCGGGUCAGAAAAUGGAUAUUGUUCCAUAAAGGCAGUGGGGGACAAGGACAAACAGGAGUGACCUCCCAUGAUUUCCUGAGGCCCAAGGGAGCUGAGGAGCUGCAGGACGAGUGUACAUUGGGGUGCCCAGCUCUGGGAUUCACAUCCCCACUGCUUGGAGAAGGACGCUGCACAAAGCCUGACCCUGCUGUCGGAGCUGCGGACGGGCGGAUAAUACAGUCGCUGAAUUUAUUUCACCUUUUCCUCUGGUUGCGAAUUGUCCGGGAGCAGAUGGCGAUUUUCUCAAGUGUAUCCGUUAUUCGAAGUCACUCACUGAGACAGCGAUGGCUCAAACAAAUCCCAGGCCCCCUGCAAAGCCAUCAUUUGGUCUUUCCAUCUGCCCAGCGCCGCUGCCGGAGGGAAGCGGGGAGCCCGGAGAGCCCAGGGAUGUGGUCAGCUGCACCUCUCUCCCACUUCAUCUCUAUGGAAUGCUCAGCUCUGGAGGGUGGCAGGAGUGGCUGGGAUCCACAUCCCUCCUUUCCUGGGGUUUGGGGGGUUUGGGGCUGAGCUGUCUCGCUCGCACGGUGCCUUGCUGUGCAGUGACAGGGUCAGGGUAACUCACUGGGACAGUGCCCAGUUGCUGUGGGAAUCCAGGGCUUCCCUCUGGCUGCCCUGGCAGGGCUGGGACCCUGGCAGGGGUCAGGAACCCCCCUGGAAAGAGCCCCCAGAGACACUGGCUGUGAUCUCUGCCCAUGGAAAAGAGUUUUCAAUCUUACAGGAUGAAUUACAAGCUUUGAGUGUUUGAUAUGAGUAAUAAUUAAGGGUGGCACGGGUGCAAAAGUAAAAUUUUAGGUUUCUAGAUUAGGGGUUCAGAGGGGACAAGAUGGAGGAAUUGGGUGUGUCUUGUCCUUUUUCUCCUUCUUCAUGCCCUCCAUGUUUCACUGUGGUGUUGGCAUUUUUCUGUUGGUUCAGGCUGGGGACACACUGUCCAACGUAGGUGACAGAUAUUGGCACGUUAUUGUAAAUCCAGCACAGGGAGUUUGUGGUAUUUAAUGUUUGUACCAUCCCACUGAGGGCAGAGCCCCACACGCUGCCCUGCAGGACAGAGCUGCGGCAGGGCAGCAGAACAUGUUAGAGAUAAACAGAAUAAACAACCUUGAAA